GAUUGAACGCUGGCGGUAUGCUUAACACAUGCAAGUCGAACGGCAGCACAGGGUGGCUUGCUAUCCGGGUGGCGAGUGGCGGACGGGUGAGUAACGCGUAGGAAUCUACCUUUCGUGGGGGAUAACCCGGGGAAACUCGGGCUAAUACCGCAUACGCCCUACGGGGGAAAGCGGGGGACCUUCGGGCCUCGCGCGGAACGAUGAGCCUGCGUCCUAUCAGGUAGUUGGUGAGGUAAUGGCUCACCAAGCCGACGACGGGUAGCUGGUCUGAGAGGACGACCAGCCACACUGGGACUGAGACACGGCCCAGACUCCGUACGGAGCAGCAGUGGGAAUAUUGGACAAUGGGGGAAACCCUGAUCCAGCAAUACCGCGUGU
Molecule: ribosomal RNA, 378 nt
Filed under: uncultured soil bacterium
Lineage: Bacteria
Description: bacterial SSU rRNA
Rfam family: Bacterial small subunit ribosomal RNA
Source: RNAcentral